This 253-nucleotide ribosomal RNA is filed under the name uncultured bacterium. Its description in RNAcentral is "partial 16S ribosomal RNA". It matches the Rfam family "Bacterial small subunit ribosomal RNA", at positions 524 to 776 of the family's 1533-position model. The record is from RNAcentral.
UACGGAGGGUGCAAGCGUUGUCCGGAUUUAUUGGGUUUAAAGGGUGCGUAGGCGGAUUUAUAAGUCAGUGGUGAAAGCCUGCGGCUCAACCGUAGAAUUGCCAUUGAAACUGUAGAUCUUGAGUGCAACUGAGGUUGUUGGAAUGCGUAGUGUAGCGGUGAAAUGCAUAGAUAUUACGCAGAACACCAAUUGCGAAGGCAGAUAACUAAGUUGUAACUGACGCUGAGGCACGAAAGCGUGGGGAGCGAACAGG